CAGAGUAGGCCCCUGCUCCCCAGGCCUCUGAGAUGGCGUCUCUCUUCCCAUUAUGAGUCGGCUUCAGAAAACCAGCCCUCAGUAUUCAGAGGCUUCACCGCUUUUGCAGCCCACGGCCCGGCUGUCGGGGUGCAGGCGUGCGCCGCUUGCCACGCACAGGGUGUGACGGUUACAAAGGGCUUCACCCCACGCACUGCCUCGGCCCCGGUUUAUUAUGACCCAGUCUUCCCGCUCUGCACUGUAAGUGCAGACCACCCGGCACGCGGGCUCGCGGUUCUGUUCCAUCGCAGGGAAAAGCAAGUCGAGAGAAGCAGCCAGGAAGGACUACUGCAUGAAGGCAGACACCCCUUUGGUUCACAGGGGCCGGACCACGGGUCAGCCUGGCUCCUCUCCAGACCCUGCCUGAGGGCCCCCUGCCCAGCAGAAGCAAAGGAAAAUACUAAAACGGAAAAAGACAACCACGAGCCUCCCGUCCAUGUCACACACCCUGCCCCCCGAACACACAGAGCCCGGGAUCCCACCAGAGGGGCAAGCUGGUAGUUCCACAUGCCGUCCUCAGAGGCGUCACCGACAAAACCACUAGCCUUCUCCGUGUCAAGCCCCGGGUGGACCCUCGGACAAGCACAUCCUGACCGGGGACAGCCCAGAAAUGGCAACUCAGAAAUGACCGGACUCAGAAAUGACGGCCCCCCCGCGGAGCCUCAGGGACCCAACACCUAUCCCAGCCUUGGCACCUGCUCGGCACCCACGCCCCCUCCUGCCCCACCAGGCUCCUCCCCUGCCCUUCACUUUGCUUAUCUUCGCACCAGAAGAUGAGAGCAAAGGCACACCCAAUCUCAUCAGGCUUUCCCAAUUACUUUUGCCUGAAGCCCCAUGAGUAGGAGGAGCGCCCACCAAGCCGUAAGGACGAUCGAGAGGAAAGAAAACAAGGGGAACCUACACUUUGGGUGGUUCCCAGAAAUACGACAUGGAAGAGGUCUGACCCCCGGGAAGGCUAGAGACUGGACA
This 1008-nucleotide long non-coding RNA is filed under the name Felis catus (domestic cat). Its description in RNAcentral is "lncRNA (ENSFCAG00000044368.2)". Lineage: Eukaryota; Metazoa; Chordata; Mammalia; Carnivora; Felidae. The record is from RNAcentral.